Molecule: long non-coding RNA, 14636 nt
Filed under: Capsicum annuum
Lineage: Eukaryota; Viridiplantae; Streptophyta; Magnoliopsida; Solanales; Solanaceae
Description: long non-coding RNA (CANN_LNC020513)
Source: RNAcentral
GAAUACCUGCUUUCUUCAACUCUGUGGCUGUGAAAGGUGGGCAAAGAUCUUCUUCUUUGUUGUUGUCUUCUUCUUCUAUAUCAUCUCCAAGUAAAACACCGAUCCAUACGUCUUUAUAAUAUUGAAGAAGAUGUACAGGAGCUUGAGCCUCCCCCUGCUGACGUUGAAGACAAGAGACACCCUUGAUAUAAUCAAGAAAUGUAGGACUUGGAGCAGAAGAUAUGUUUAACAGCGGCAUUUGGAGGAACCUUGUGGUUAAAAGGUCCAACGUAAACUCUUCACAUCUAAAUGCACGUGCUAGCGCGUCUAUGACCUGGAAAGGCAGUUGAUUAUCAUACAAUAAUAGGUCAUGACGCACCAAAUCUCUAUCACGUUUCUUCACAUUCAACCAGCUCCUCCUGCAACUAGUAAUUAUAUUGUCGUUGCAGAUGAAUUCAAUAAUAAAGCAGGCGUCGAGGAACAUCAUCAGACACCACAUAGGGUCACUUGUUUGUUCGAAUCGAGGAGAGUAAAAUUUCCGAGUUUUGAGCAAUUGUUCUUCUACUCUUGCAUACACUUUUUCAAUGGAUACAUCGUCUUUUACUCUUUCUGCUAAUUCCAUCACUGCUUUCCGCUUUAAAUAUUCCAUGGGUUUAACAUGAGGUUUUUCAUGGUGGAUUGGACCAAUGGAAACCGCACGGGGACCAAAGAACUUCUGAUAAAUUUCCUUUCCCAUAGGCUCGGUAAGUGUAGAUGGAAUACCGAAAUGUAUUUCUUGUGUCGACUCUUGAUGUGGCAUUGUACCUAACGGAAAGCCAGGUAUAUCAAUGGCAGAAUGUAACCAGUCAGCCACUUCGGCUGCUCUACUGUUGAGAGCAUCAGCCUCAUGAAUCGACAUUUGAGAUAUUUAUAUAUGUAUAUGCAGAUAGAUGAUAAGAUCAGUUGGACCAUCCAAGCAUAUAUAUAUCGAGAAUGAAAAUUAUGAAUCUACCGUAAGAUCUUGCACUUCAAUCAGUAUCUGCAAAAAGCUACAAGUUUUUAUAGCUUUACUUCGAUACCAAGUCUGGCAUCUUUAGCAUUAAGAGUGCCUUUAUUCUCAACUUAAUACACUAACAAAGGCAGAUUCUAAUAUUCUACUCUUCCUGUCUGUUUAUAUCAUUAGUAUUUUCUUUUUUGGAUAAUCGUGGUGUUCGGGUCAGCUUGCACGCAUCUCCACUGGUUCCACAGAAUGCAUCAAUUCUAUGGCAAUGUUUGUUUAUAGAUCAAAGUUUCUACGUAAUGCAGCUAGAUUCAUAAUUCAUAAAAAAUGCCGGCUUAAAAGCUUAGUCUUUUGGUUUGAGCAUGUGAAGAGAUGUGCAAAUGUGAGAGGAUAGAUUUAGUGGAUACUAGGAGAGGUAGAUUUAGUCCUAUGAUGUAUUUUAGAGAGGUGACUAGACAAGAAAUGACACAACAUCAGCUUACCGAAGACAUGACCUUAUAUAAGAGGGUAAGGAGGUCGCGGAUUAGGGUAGAAGGUCAGUAGGUAGUUGCGCGUUGGUUUGCUUUACAAUACGAUUAAGCUUGGUGGUAGUCUAGCGCACCGUAUCAGUCAUACUAUUAGCCUUAUUCUUGUAGUUGCUUGUUUCCGUUAUCUGUCACCAUCGUUGUUUUUCCUUUUGAUCUUCACCGAAAUGCUAAUUGUAAAAUAGUAUAAGACUGCGUACAAUAGAUCCUACGGCCCAGCCCUUCCUCGAACCACUCACAUAGCAGGAGCUUAGUACACCGAGCUGGGUUUCCCUUUAGCGCACGAAGACAACUGCUGUUUUUAUCUUUUGAACAGCCAAAGCUUUGAGCAAGCAAAUUGCAUGUUUCUUCAGUGAGCUAUUUGGAAGCUACUAGGAUAAUAGUACUAAAUGAACCUCCACAAUUCAAUAAUUCAACUUUAAUAGUUGGUGUAUCGACAAAUAUUUCUCGAGCACAGAUUUAGUGGGAAAGUAAAACGGAACACCUAACAACACAUCUUUACAGACCAAAAACAACACGAUGACGUUUUUCAUUUUGGGGUAACGGAGGAUAACUUUCUUGGCAGAUUUUGGUGUUACGGGAUCCUUACGUCAUUUGUUGGAGAUGGGGAACCAUCGCACUAUGGUAAAAGAUGUCAUCGUAUAUAUGACCAGGUGGGCACGAUCUGAAUAAGAUAUCUGCAUAAGGAAUCGCAACAUGGCUGCAACUCUAUAAUCAUACAUGGACUAUAGGCCUAAGUCUGAGCUGAACUAACUUCUCUCACCAUGUUCAAGACUACUCAAAGUCACACGGUACCACAGAUAACACCAUAAUACUAGUGUAAACCACGGAUUCAAUAUCCUAUGCGUUUUCGCAUCUCUGAUCUCAAGAAUAACACUCCUUACCACUACAACAAUGCAUUUAUCCACGUAUAUACAGACAUGACAUUCAAGCCUAUCAUUUGCUUAUGAACUUCCAGGCAACCAACCCACCUAGAAAUUCUUCCACGUUCUCAAAUAUCUCUUGUCAAUAACAACUCCCAUGCACUAUCCCCAAUAAAACACGCAUAGAAUUCUCAACCAACCCAUGAUCUACACCAAAAGCUUUACCUCAAUCUUCCUUCAACCUUGUAGCCUUGUAUAAAAACAAGCAUACAAUAAUCUUUCCUCAACAAGAAACAUCUACUCUCUCCCAUCUAAACCAUUGAUCAUCAAUUUUUCAUCGCCACUACCUUAACAUAAGGAGAGGUCACUGAAAGGUUAGAUCAUGAGGACUUGAAGCGUGAAAGAAUACUAUGCAUAACGUGACACUUAACUGAGGCCUGAGGAAUAGAGUAUCAAAGGCACGAAUUCAUUAAAGAGAUCUAAUCUGGGACGUACAUGACAUAAUCUGAGUUUCGCUCAUCGCUAAGAGUGUACCAUGAGUUAUGGGAACUGAGCAUACUGUAAAGCAUGUACAUGAGUCAUGAGCUGCGUGACUUGAGUUUGCAGUUCAUAAAUUCAUGGAAUAGAUUUGUACUGCUGAAGUGAUCGGGAACUCCUCGUACUAGGAACUGAAAGCGUACAUGAUUCUAGAGAAAGUGCAUGAAGAUGAGUUAUGAUCAUAGAGCUGACUUGUAAGGCUUGAGUAGAUAUCGUGAUAACUGAAGUACAACAAUUCACACUGAGAUGAUAAUGGGUUGGGCAUCUUCCUCCCCUACUGAUGUUCUACAACACACUGGCAUCACUAUUAGAAUCUAAGAGCCUGACUUGGUUCCUUGUUCAAUCAUCUCUCCCGUAGUUUAAGCCAUUGUUCUAAAUUUGUGGACCCCUUCAAUAAACUCUAAACUGAACUUCAACCACUUUACUCUAGAGUCCGAGAUAUAACAAUGCACAUAAUUAAUAACUCACCUUGAAAGACUAUAUCCGAAAGUGUAAAGCCCAUUGCUAAUACUUCUAAGAUAGAACACUUAACUUUUAAUAUCCCCGAUUAUCAUCCUAUAAUAACUUAAAUACUGACUAACUUAGAAUUUUCAGGAGUAUUACCAUACCCUAAGUUUGCACAAUCUAGAAUUUCAAUUCAUCUUUCUAUUAGCUCAGUCCUCCAAGAUUCAAACUUAGAUUCUAACACAUAACAUGGAUAUCCAAAAAUGCUAACUUCAUUCUUGAACACACCCUUAACGUAUAUCAUCCUUAACAUCCUUAAAAGUGGCUAUUCCUCAAGAUUCGACGAAUAAUGAGAAAUUACAAUUGCAUACAAAUAUGCAGUUGAACAAGGCUUAGUUAUUGUUUUGUUCAAAUACAACAACAAUCAAAAUACAACUUAUGAAUAUACAAUAGCUCAAGAAAAAGUGGAAUGAAAUGUAGAUAAGAGUAUACAGUCAGUCUAUUUGUAAGUCUGAAUGGCUGUGAGGACAGUCUGAAUUACAGUCAUACCAACCGUGAAAAUAACAGCAAGGAACACAAGGAAACUCCAAGGACCACUAAAAUACCUUUGCUUCAUUUCAGCACGGGCAACUACUAGAGGGAAGCGUUUACUUCUGAAAUAAGUAGAAAUCUGUCGUUUGACAUUCCUAAUAGCUUGAGGAUUUAACACAGUAGGUGCUGACAUUUCUCUCAAGAAUCUAAUCAGUUCACCAUCGCCAGCAGCGAUGUUGAUCUGGAUUAUUCCUCUGGCUCGCAGCUCCUUAACAUCUUCCUCUCCGUUAAUUAACAUACACGUGAAAUUCAAGUAAGAUAAAAUCCCAAAAGAUCUAUUUUGGGAUCUAUUCUAUAAGUUGCAUGCAUAUUCAUAAGCAAAUAGGUUAUGAAAAAGGUACAUAGUCUAUUCGUCGAUAGUUAAUUGGAAGGAAUAACGUUCCCGAUAAGAUGGAUGACUCAAAGCGGAUGCCUUUGGAAAGAUCACUUGCACAGAUACAUCGAAUACCUGCUUUCUUCAACUCUGUGGCUGUGAAAGGUGGGGAAACCGCAAGAUGAUAUUCUUCUUCUUUGUUGUUGUUGUCGUCUUCUUCUACAUCAUCUCCAAAUAAAACACUGAUCCAUAGGUCUUUAUAAAAUUGAAGAAGAUGUAUAGGAGCUUGAGCCUCCCCCUGCUGACGUUGAAGACAAGAGACACCCUUGAUAUAAUCAAGAUACAUAGGAGUUGGAGCAGAAGAUAUGUUUAACAACGGCAUUUGGAGGAACCUUCUCGUUAAAAGGUGCAAUGUAAACUCGUCACAUCUAAAUGCCCGUUAUAGCGCAUUUAUAACCUGGAAAGGCAAUUGAUUAUCAUACAAUAAUAGGUCACGACGCACCAAAUCUCUGUCACGUUUCUUCAUAUUCAACCAGCUCCUCUUGCCACUAGUAAUUAUAUUGUCUUUGUAGAUGAAUUCAAUAAUAAAGCAGGCGUUGAGGAACACCAUCUGACACCACAUACCGUCAUCCGCUUGUUUGAACAGAGGAGAGUAACAGUUCUUUGUUUUGAGCAAGUGUUCUUCAACACUUGCAUACACCUGUUCAAUGGAUACAUCGCCUCUUACUCUUUCUGCUAAUUCAGUCACUGCUUUCCACUUGAAAUCCUCCAUGGGCUUAACAUGAGGUAAUUCAUGGUGGCGUGGACCAAUGGAAACCACAAUGGGACCAUAGAGCUUGAGGUAAUAUUCCUUUGCCAUAAGAUCGGUAAUUGUAGAAGGAAAACUGAAAUGUAUUUCUUGUGUCAACUCUUCAUGUGGCGCUGUACCUACUGAAAAGCCAGGUAUAUCAAUGAUAGAAUGUAACCAUUUAACCAUUUCGGCUGCUCUACUGUUGGGAGCAGCAGCCUCAUGAAUCGACAUCUGAGAUAUAUUUAUAUAUAUAUAUAUCAACAAGAGUACAAUAGAUAGGUUACAAAAUUAGAAAUAUCCCAAGAGAACAACCUCACAAGAUCGAUCACUCCAAAAGAAAGGGCUCACAAAAGUGUUUCCCAACACCCACUUUUUCACUAAAUACUCUAAUAGGAAGGGAGAAUAAAUACAAGAGAAUGAAAGAAAAACUCAAGAGAAUGAAAGAAAAACUCUUGCAUUAAUAAAAUAUAUUGACUUACUAAAAUAAACUAAGUCAAUGCGAGUUGGGUGUGUGAAAGCAGAUCUGUCUUUCACUCAAGUUGGAUUAUUGUAUAUUUGUUCUGGUUGGAGAAAACUGGCAUCCUAAGAGUUGACUGUUAAUGGACAUGUGGAGUUGUAGGAGUGUUAUUCUCAUAGCCAUAUAAUAAAUUGGAAAAUCAACUGUCAUGUGACUGGAAAGUCACGUGUUCAAGCCGUGGAAAAAGGCUCGAGUGUGUUAUUCCCUUUAGCGCACUAAGACAACUACUGUUUUUAUCUCUUGAACAGCCAAAGCUUUGAGCAAGCAAAUUGCAUUUUUCUUCAGAGUUUUAUUGGAAGCUACUAGGAUUAGGAUGUAUGUAAUAGUACUAAAUGAACCUCCACAAUUCAAUAAUACAACACUAAUAGUUGGUGAAUCGACAACUAUUUCUCGAGCACAGAUUUAGUGGGAAAGUAAAACGGAGCACCUAACAACACAUCUUUACAGACCAAAAACAACAAGAUGACCUUUUUCAUUUUGGGGUAACAGAGGAUCAUAUCAUUCGAGUCUUUUCUUUUGACUAAAAAUAGAAGCACGUUUUGAAAAAUGAUAGUUAAGCGUGUAGGAUUAGGCUAGAAGAGUGUCUUAACUUGUUCGGGACUUAAAACAUAGAUGUAACAAGGGAGAUAAAAACAUAUUAAUCCAUGUGAUUUAAGCAAACCACCAGUCCAUUCACAACUUGCUGACAGUGGUUCAUCCAUGUGCUUCCUAAUGAAUCCAAUUCCACGAGUUCUCAUCAAGUAAACUCAGCAAUAAUUCUAUAAGAUUCUUUGAUAAGGUAUUAAAUUUCAUCAAAGAAAGGGUGAAAAACAUGCCCCAUACAAGAAGUAUAGCAAAAACAGAAAGCGUUACAGAAAGACAUAGUUUUUUAUGAAUGAUAUCAAGUCAUUUAUACAAAUAAGAACCUUAUCGGUCUACCAACAGGAAAUAAGGGAGAAGUGGCUAUUCCUCGAGAUACGAUGAAUACAUGAAAAAGUACAAUUACAUAUGAAUAGGCAGCCGAGCAAGGCCUUGUUAUUGUUUUAUUCAAUACAACCACAACCAAAAUACAACUUAUGAAGAAUGAAGAUACAAUAGCUCAAGAAAAAGUGGAAUGAAAUGUAGAUAGGGGUAUAUAGUCGGUCUAUUUGUAAGUCUGAAUGGCUGUGAGGACAGUCUGAAUUACAGUCAUACCAACCGUGAAAAUAACAGCAAGGAACACAAGGAAACUCCAAGGACCACUAAAAUACCUUUGCUUCAUUUCAGCACGGGCAACUACUAGAGGGAAGCGUUUACGUCUGAAGUAAGUAGAAAUCUGUCGUUUGACAUUCCUACUAGCUUGAGGAUUCGACUCAGUAGGUACUGUUAUUUCUCUCAAGAAUCUAAUUAGUUGCUCAUCGCCAGCAGCGAUGUUGAUCUCAAUUACUCCUCUGGCUCGCAGCUCCUUAACAUCUUCCUCUCCGUUAAUUAACAUACACAUGAAAUUCAAGUAAGAUGAGAUCCCAAAAGAUCUAUUUUGGGAUCUAUAUUGUAAGCUGCAUGCAUAUUCAUAAGCAACUAUGUUAUGAAAAAGGUACAAAGUCCAUUCGUUGAUCGUUAUUUUCGGAAGGAAUAACAUUCCUGAUAAGAUGGAUGACUCAAAACGGAUGCCUUUGGAAAGAUCACUUGCACAGAUACAUCGAAUACCUGCUUUCUUCAACUCUGUGGCUGUGAAAGGUGGGCAAAUCGCAAGAUGAUCUUCUUCUUCUUUGUUACUGUUGUCUUCUUCUUCUUCUACAUCAUCUCCAAAUAAAACACUGAUCCAUAUGUCUUUAUAAAAUUGAAGAAGAUGUACAGGAGCUUUCUGACGUUGAAGACAAGAGACACUUGAUAUAAUCAAGAAACAUAGGAGUUGGAGCAGAAGAUAUGUUUAACAACGGCAUUUGGAGGAACCUUAUGGUUAACAGGUCCAACGUAAACUCUUCACAUCUAAAUGCAUGUGCUACCACGUCUAUAACCUGGAAAGGCAAUUGAUUAUCAUACAAUAAUUGGUCAUGACGCACCAAAUCUCUAUCACGUUUCUUCAUAUUCAACCAGCUCCUCUUGCCGCUAGUAAUUAUAUUGUCGUUGUAAAUGAAUUCAAUAAUAAAACAAGCGUCGAGGAACAUCAUCAGACACCACAUACCGUCAUUCAUUUGUUUGAACUUAGGGGAGUAACAGUUCCUAGUUUUGAGCAAGUGUUUUUCAACAUUCGCAUACACCUGUUCAAUGGAUACACCGUCUUUUAAUCUUUCUGCUAAUUCCCUCACUGCUUUCCUCUUGAAAUUCUCCAUGGGCUUAACAUGAGGCAAUUCAUGGUGGUGUGGACCAAUGGAAACCACACGGGGACCAAAGAAUUUGUGAUAAAGUUCCUUUAUCAUAAGAUCGGUAAGUGUAGAAGGAAUACUGAAAUGUAUUUCUUGUGUCGACUCUUCAUGUACUGAAGAGCCAGGUAUAUCAAUGGCAGAAUGUCCAGUCAGCCACUUCGGCUGCUCUACUGUUGGGAGCAUUAGCCUCAUGAAUCGACAUUUGAGAUAUAUAUAUGUAAAUGCAGAUAGAUGAUUAGAUCAGUUAGAUCAUCCAAGCAUACAUAUACCGAGAAUGAAAAUUAAGAUCUUGCACUUCAAUCAGUAUCUGCAAAAGCUACAAAUUAUAGCUUUACCUCGAUACCAAGUCUGGCAUCUUUUGCAUUAAGAGUGCCUUUAUUCUCAACUUAACUCACUAGCAAAGGCAGAUUCUAAUAGUCUACUCUUCCUGUCUGUCUGUUUAUAUCAUUAUCAUCCUUAAAACUACAAAUUUGAAUGUCAUGUGUGAAUCAUUUUUUUAAAAGAUGAUUGAGGUGUUCGGAUCAGCUUGCACGCAUCUCCACUUGUUCCGCGGAGGUCUCAGUCAAGUGCUGUUCAUUGAUAGUUACCCUCUAUUAAUCCUUUCUUGGUCAUGUGUCAAUGUCACUUUUGUUAAAGGAUAGGUAUGAUCUCUAUCAAUACUCUCUUUUACAUACCACUUUUUGUCAUAUAAUUGCAAACUUCUCAUUUAAUUUAUGUGCCAAAAACACUUAAAGUAUUGUGAUAAUUAUUUUAAUGUACAUAUAAUUAAAAAGCAAAGAUAUGAAAGUGAUCCCAAGUCCCACAUUUGUCUCUCUUUUCACUAACAUUAACACAUCAAGCCAACUAAGUCCCAACUGGACUACACUGUGAUUUCAUUUGCUUUAAUAUUGUUACUAUUUAUGUUUACUUUUUGAUGGGGAGCCAUCGCACUAUGGUAAAAGAUUUCUUUCGUGCGACCAGGAGGUCACAGGUUCAAACCACAGAAGGAACAUCUUGCAGGAAUGUAAGUAAGGUUGCGUACGUAUGAUCCAAUGUGAUCUUGCCCUUCCAGGAGCCCUGUGCAUAGAGGGACACAUUGGGCUUCCCUUUCUUGAGCAUCUAUUGUGUAGACACACAAGAAGUAUACCAAAAGCAGAAACCGUUACAAAUAAGAACCUUAUAGGUGCACCAAAAGAAAAUAGGGGAAAAGUGGUUAUUCCUCAAGAUACGAUGAAUACAUGAAAAAGUACAGUUACAUACAAAUAUGCAGGUGACGAGGCCAUGUUAUUGUUUUAUUCAAAUACAACUUGUGAAGAUACAAGAGCACGUUCAAGAAAAAUGCAGAAUAAAAUGUUGAUAGGGGUGCACAGUCAGUCUAUUUGUAAGUCUGAAUGCCUGUGAGGACAGUUUGAAUUACAGUCAUACCAACCGUGAAAAUAACAGCAAGGAACACAAGAAAACUCCAAGGACCACUAAAGUACCUUUGCUUCAUUUCAGCACAGGCAACUACUAGGGAGAAGCGUUUACUUCUGAAAUAAAUAGAAAUCUGUCGUUUGACAUUCCAAAUAGCUUGAGGAUUGGACUCGGUAGGUUGUGCUAUGUUUCUCAAGAAUCUAAUCAAUUGAUCAUCACCAGCAACGAUGUUGAUCUGGAUUACUCCUGCUUCCCUUUCUUGAGCAUCUAUUGUGUAGACACACAAGAAGUAUACCAAAAGCAGAAACCGUUACAAAUAAGAACCUUAUAGGUGCACCAAAAGAAAAUAGGGGAAAAGUGGUUAUUCCUCAAGAUACGAUGAAUACAUGAAAAAGUACAGUUACAUACAAAUAUGCAGGUGACGAGGCCAUGUUAUUGUUUUAUUCAAAUACAACUUGUGAAGAUACAAGAGCACGUUCAAGAAAAAUGCAGAAUAAAAUGUUGAUAGGGGUGCACAGUCAGUCUAUUUGUAAGUCUGAAUGCCUGUGAGGACAGUUUGAAUUACAGUCAUACCAACCGUGAAAAUAACAGCAAGGAACACAAGAAAACUCCAAGGACCACUAAAGUACCUUUGCUUCAUUUCAGCCUGUGUCUGUGAAAGGUGGGAACACCGCAAGAUGAUCUUCUUCUUCUUUGUUGUCGUUGUUGUCUUCUUCUUCUGCAUCAUCUCCAAAUAAAACAUUGAUCCAUAGGUCUCUAUAAUACUGAAGAAGAUGUACAGGAGCUUGAGCCUCCCCCUGCUGAUGUUGAAGAUAAGAGACACCCUUGAUAUAAUCAAGAUACGUAGGAGUUGGAGCAGAAGAUAUGUUUAAAAACGGCAUUUGGAGGAACCUUCUUGUUAAAAGGUGCAAUGUAAACUCGUCACAUCUAAAUGCCCGUGCUAGCGCAUCUAUGACCUGGAAAGGCAAUUGAUUAUCAUACAAUAAUAGGUCACGGCGCACCAAAUCUCUGUCACGUUUCUUCAUAUUCAACCAGCUCCUCUUGCCGCUAGUAAUUAUAUUGUCGUUGUAGAUGAAUUCAAUAAUAAAGUACACCUGUUCAAUGGAUACAUCGUUUUUUACUCUUUCUGCUAAUUCCCUCACUGCUUUCCGUUUGAAAUUCUCCAUGGGUUUAACAUGAGGUAAUUUGUGGAAGUGUGGACCAAUGGAAACAACACGGGGACCAAAGAACUUGUGAUAAAGUUCCUUUAUCAUAAGAUUGGUAAGUAUAGAAGGCAUACUGAAAUGUAUUUCUUGUGUCGACUCUUCAUCAUGUGGCGCUGUACCUACUGAAGAGCCAGGUAUAUCAAUGACAGAAUUUAACCAGUCAGGCACUUGGGCUGCUCUACUGUUGGGAGUAUCAGCGUCAUGAAUCGACAUUUGGGAUAUAUAUGUGUAUGCAGAUGGAAGAUAAGAUCAGUUGGACCAUCCAAGCAUAUAUAUACUGAGAAUGAGAUUUUGCACUUCAAUCAAUAUCUUCAAAAAGCUACAAGUUCUUAUAGCAUUACUUCGAUAGCAAGUCUUGCAUCUUUUGCAUUACGAGUACCUUUAUUCUCAACUUAACAUAUUAACAAAGGCAGAUUCUAGUAUUCUACUCUUCCUGUCUGUUAAGAUCAUUAUCAUCCUUAAAACUGCAAAUUUGAACGUCACGUUUGAAUCCUUUUUGUUUUUGUGAUAAUCGUGGUGUUCGGUUCAGUUUGAUCACAUCUCCACUGGUUCCACAGAAUGCAUCAAUUCUAUGGCAAUGCUUGUUUAUAGACCAAAGUUUCUACGAAAUGCAGCUAGAUUCAAUCAAAGAAUCUUCCUUAAUAAUAAAUCAUCACAAUUCAUAAAAAAUGCCGGCUUAAAAGCUGUCCUUUGGUUUGAGCAUGUGAAGAGGAUUGAUUUAGUCGAUACGAGGAGAGGUUGAUUUAGGCCUACGAUGAUGCAUUGGAGAUAAGUGACUAGACAAGAAAUGAGACAACAUCAGCUUACUGAGGAUAUGUCCUUAUAUAAGAGCAUAUGGAGGUCGCAGAUUAGGAUAAAAGGUUAGUAGGUAGUUGAGCGUGGUUUGCUUUACAAUAGGAUUAAGCUUGGUGAUAGUCUAGCGCACCGUAUCAGUCAUUAUCUGUCACCAUCUUUUAUUCCUUGCCUAUAUGCUUUGCAUGGCUUUCCUAUUAGUUUGCCAUGUUUCUUAGUUGUUGUUUUUCAUUUUAUUUCUACUUUGAGUGUAUUGCUUGAGCCGAGGGUCUUUCAAAAAAGUCUCUCUACCUCCACGAGGCUCUACACUCCUCAGACCCUACUUUGUGCGAUUUUACUGUGGCCAUAAUAUAUGCUUGACAUUUGAUUCUUUAUUGAUUGUUCUCUUCUGUCUCUUCGUUUAUAAAAUGAAAACAACAAAAUAUACAGUGAAAUCCCACCAACAGGAGUCACUCCAUAUUCAUCAAAUCACAGCAAAUUAAAAAGAAAACUAACCUUCCUCUAGAUCUUCACCCAAACGAUAGCUACUAUAUAGGAUAAACACUGCGUACGAUAGAUCCUUGUAGUCCAACCCUGCCUCGAACCAUUCACAUAGCAUGGACCUUAGUACACCGAGCUGGGUUUCCCUUUAGCGCAUGACUACAACUGCUGUUUUUAUCUCUUGAACAGCCAAAGCUUUGCGCAAGCAAAUUGCAUGUUUCUUCAGGGAGUUAUUUGGAAGCCACUAGGAUUAGGAUGUACAUAAUAGUACUAAAUGAACCUCCACGAUUCAAUAAUACAACAUUAAUAGUUGGUGUAUCAACAACUAUUUCUCGAGCACAGAUUUAGUGGGAAAGUAAAACGGAUCACCUAACAACACAUCUUUACAGAUCAAAAACAACAAGAUGACCUUUUUCAUUUUGGGGGCAACGGAGGAUCAUAUCAUUCGAGUCUUUUCUUUUGACUCCUUACGUCAUUUGUUGGAGAUGAGGAGCCAUGCACUAUGGUAAAAGAUGUCAUCGUGUGACCAGGAGGUCACAGGUUCAAGUGCAGGAAUUAAGUAAGGCUGUGUACAUAAUAUCCAAUGUGAUCUUUCCCUUCCAGGAGCGCCGUGUAUAGAGAGACAUUUGGCUUCCCUUUCUUGAGCAUCUAUUGUGUAGACACGUGGAGUCAAUCAAGUGAAAGAUGAAUUUAAAGCCAUAUUCGUCGCUUACAUGGAUGAAGCAUUGUCUGCAGUGACUGGUUCAUGAACUGUAUCAUGAAACAAGAGCACGACUUAGGAGCUCCUCAAUUCGCCGAGUCCCUAUAAUCCACAGAAAGAAGAUGAGCAAACUGGUCUGUGAAAUGUGAUAGCCAUAGACAUUGGUCUUUCAUCUGCUGUAAAUUUCUCAUCAUCUUUCUGAACAAGAAAAAUGAAUUGGCAAAUACAAAUCAUGACUGCUCUAUGAACUGUUCGAGAUCAAAACAUGACUAGAGCUGUUCGAGAUCAAAACAUGACUAUCAGUUGAUCAACGAAUUCAAUUCCACGAGUUCUCAUCAAGUAAACUCAUCAGUAUUUCUAUAAGAUUCUUUGAUAAGGUACUAAAUUUCAUCAAACAAAGGGUGAAAAACAUGCCCCAUACAAGAAGUAUAGCAAAAGCAGAAAGCGUUACAGAAAGACAUAGGUUUUUAUGAAUGAUAUCAAGUCAUUUUUACAAAUAAGUUUUUUAUGAAUGAUAUCAAGUCAUUUNNNNNNNNNNNNNNNNNNNNNNNNNNNNNNNNNNNNNNNNNNNNNNNNNNNNNNNNNNNNNNNNNNNNNNNNNNNNNNNNNNNNNNNNNNNNNNNNNNNNNNNNNNNNNNNNNNNNNNNNNNNNNNNNNNNNNNNNNNNNNNNNNNNNNNNNNNNNNNNNNNNNNNNNNNNNNNNNNNNNNNNNNNNNNNNNNNNNNNNNNNNNNNNNNNNNNNNNNNNNNNNNNNNNNNNNNNNNNNNNNNNNNNNNNNNNNNNNNNNNNNNNNNNNNNNNNNNNNNNNNNNNNNNNNNNNNNNNNNNNNNNNNNNNNNNNNNNNNNNNNNNNNNNNNNNNNNNNNNNNNNNNNNNNNNNNNNNNNNNNNNNNNNNNNNNNNNNNNNNNNNNNNNNNNNNNNNNNNNNNNNNNNNNNNNNNNNNNNNNNNNNNNNNNNNNNNNNNNNNNNNNNNNNNNNNNNNNNNNNNNNNNNNNNNNNNNNNNNNNNNNNNNNNNNNNNNNNNNNNNNNNNNNNNNNNNNNNNNNNNNNNNNNNNNNNNNNNNNNNNNNNNNNNNNNNNNNNNNNNNNNNNNNNNNNNNNNNNNNNNNNNNNNNNNNNNNNNNNNNNNNNNNNNNNNNNNNNNNNNNNNNNNNNNNNNNNNNNNNNNNNNNNUUAAUUAACAUACACAUGAAAUUCAAGUAAGAUGAGAUCCCAAAGGAUCUGUUUUGGGAUCUAUUUUGUAAGCUGCAUGCAUAUUCAUAAUCAACUAGGUUAUGAAAAAGGUACACAGUCCAUUCGUUGAUCGUUAGUUUUGGAAGGAAUAACAUUCCUGAUAAGAUGGAUGACUCAAAGCGGAUGCCUUUGGCAAGAUCACUUGCACAGAUACAUCGAAUACCUGCUUUCUUCAAUUCUGUGGCUGUGAAAGGUGGGCAAACCGCAAGAUGAUAUUCUUCUUCUUUGUUGUUGUUGUCUUCUUCUUCUUCUUCAUCAUCUCCAAAUAAAACACUGAUCCAUAGGUCUUUAUAAAAUUGAAGAAGAUGUAUAGGAGCUUGAGCCUCCCCCUGCUGACGUUGAAGACAAGAGACACCCUUGAUAUAAUCAAGAUACAUAGGAGUUGGAGCAGAAGAUAUGUUUAACAACGGCAUUUGGAGGAACCUUAUCGUUAAAAGGUGCAAUGUAAACUCAUCACAUCUAAAUGCACGUGCUAGCGCAUCUAUGACCUGGUAAGGCAAUUGAUUAUCAUACAAUAAUAGGUCAUGACGCACCAAAUCUCUAUCAUGUUUCUUCAUAUUCAACCAGCUCAUCUUGCCGCUAGUAAUUAUAUUGUCGUUGUAGAUGAAUUCAAUAAUAAAACUAGCUUCGAGGAACAUCAUCAGACACUACAUACCGUCAUUCAUUUGUUUGAACCGAGGAGAGUAACAGUUCCGAGUUUUGAGCAAGUGUUCUUCAACAUUUGCAUACACCUGUUCAAUGGAUACAUCGCCUUUUCCUCUUUCUUCUAAUUCCCUCACUGCUUUCCGCUUGAAAUUCUCCAUUGGUUUAACAUGAGGUAAUUCAUGGUGGUUUGGACCAAUGGAAACCACACGGGGACCAAAGAACUUGUGAUAAAGUUCAUUUAUCAUAAGACCGGUAAGUGUAGAAGGAAUACUGAAAUGUAUUUCUUGUGUCGACUCUUCAUGUGGCGUUGUACCUACUGAAGAGCCAG